Molecule: long non-coding RNA, 5164 nt
Organism: Canis lupus familiaris (dog)
Lineage: Eukaryota; Metazoa; Chordata; Mammalia; Carnivora; Canidae
Exons: 9
Source: RefSeq, a predicted model, not a curated record
ACAGCAUGCUAUAUCUGAGCCUGCAUCUAUAAAGGUGGUGUUUCCCCUUUGUUCACUUGCUGAGACCACUGCCAUGAGAAAAAUACUGGCCUCUGGCUGGGUGAUGAGAGACACAGUCUCAUCAGCCCCAGACUUAUGAAAGAGCCCAGAUGAUACCAACAGCAAGACUGUUCUGGUUGACAACCCUAGAUGCCAGAUCAAUACAUGCUCAAUGCUGUAUGCCCUUGAUGUUUUGUGAUUGUUAUGCAAGACUAUGGUGGUAAGAGAUAAAUGAUACAGGGCACAAAUUUCCAGAUAGACUGAAAGUAGGAAGUUCUGAUUAACCCUUCAUGGAACCCUUGAUGCUUUAUUAAAAUAACAGGAAGACCUUGAAGUAAUGGGCUGGCUUAGCCCAAUCACCUCCUGAGAGUCAUUUAUCUAACUGAGUUGAUUUGACCUGGGGUCCAAGGUUUCAGCCCUCUGUCUGCUAAUAUCAGUAUGCAGAUGGAUUUGUGUCCCUCUGAAUCUGAAAGACAGGUGUCUAGAAAUUAUCAAGUUAAUGCUCACACAAGACCUCCUUGCAUCUGCAUUCUCAAAAUUUAAGCAAGGACCUUAGAAAUGGCUUAAUAAUGGCCACUGACUUAUCUGUACUUGCAAUCAAGGCAGAAUGAGCAAAUUUUCCAGUAGAAUAUAUUUUGGGAAUUUAAAUACAUGUUCUUUUUUUUUCUCCAGGCCUAUAUCUGGUAUAUAUGGAAUUAAUCAGUGUGCCAUCCUUUAGAGACCACCAUUACAUUGUCUUCUGGCUUUUACUUCCAUGAAAGCCAGAAGAGGUUUUUGUGCAAGCCCCAGGGGUUUUUGAAGCUCAGAGGGACAGGCUUUUACCUCUGAAGAGAAGGGGAAUUUGAUUGAAAAUAGAGGCUACUUAUGAUUCAUUCAGAGGAAUUUUCCCUCUCCAUCAUCUUAUUUGCCUAGUGAUUUGAUCCUAUGUGGCUCUUCAGAGCCCACUGUGAGAUGAUUUGCUUCAGCUGCACUGGAUCUUUUUCAAAUAUUUUCCAAGGACAAACACCCUCCCUACAGGUUUCCUCAGCUGUAGUGAUUGUCUUGUCUGGGGAUUGUAUUCUGAUUAAUUUAACUUUAGCUUCCUUACUGCUUCAGUGGAUUCCAAAUUUGUCAUGGUUUAAAAAAAAAAUUCUCUGGGGAAGUUUCAUAAACGAAGUUGGUGAGAACAGGGCUUAGGAUUUAUUCUGCUGAGCAACCUUUAGAAUGUGGUGGGGGUACUGAGAAGUACAGAGAAGAAGAAUGGAAGGAAUGCCAAAUCCUUCCUGAUACAUGUUCAUAGGUCAGGCAUAAUUCAGUUCUGCAGAAAUUUCAGUGAUCAUUGUUCUGUAUAGAGGUGCUCCAUCCAAUUGAGUAGAAAGCAGUGAGAAGCAUGAGAUAUGUGACUGCAGCCAGCAGGGGGCGGAAGCAUCACGGCCAAAUGCCACAACCUCUAUGGAAGUUGCCUGUGCCAAGUAUUGCACACUGUUCUGGAGGCCAGCUUGUUCUGAACUCCAUGCAAGCCUUUCUUUUUGUAAGAUCUUUGCUUUCACUAAGUCUCUUCUGCUGACAGAAUAGGCAGUAGAGUCAGUAUGUCUGGAUUUGAAACCUGGCUGCUCCACUUGUUAGCUUUGUCAUCUCUAUGUACCUCAGUGUUUCUUAUCUGAGAAAUGGGAAAGGACAAUUGUUGUGGAGAUGUGAGGAUGAUUGAGCUAACUUAUAUAAGCAUUUGGAAUAGUGCCUGGCAGUUAUUAAAUAUAAGAUCAAUAUUAGCUAAUAAUAGUAUAGCCUUUCUCUUUGCUUUCCUCCCUCCUUCCUCCCAAGUCUGAUGUAAAAAUAAGUAAAUGUAGCAAUAGGUUAUGGAGGUUGAUUUCUCUUCAUUCUUCAAUACUCAUCCCAAGAGCACAAAAUCAACUCAGUGGCAUUUCUACCAAAAAUGCUUAUGCUAAAUCUAAUAAUGAGAAAAUAUCAGACAAAACCAAAUUGAGGGACAUUCUACUCCAUAACUAGAUUGCUUCAAAAAUGACAAGGUCAAGAAAGACAAAGAAACUGUUCCAGACUGUAGGGUACUAAACAGAUGUGACCCCAAAUGCAGCACAUGAGUUAGGAAUUUAUUUUGCUAUAAAGUAUAUGUUGGGAUGAUUGGAGAAACUUGAAUAAAGAAUGUAGGUAAGACAGUGGUAUUAGAUCAGUAUGAAUCUCCUGAUUUUGCUAAUUGUAGGCUGCGGAAGAGGAUGUCCCUGCUUUUAGAAAACAUACAUUGAAGUAUUUAAGAGUAAAGGGGGCAUAAUUUCCAUAAGUUACUCUCAAAUGGCUUUAAAAAUGUGUAUUUGUAUAUACAUGUAUUAUAUAUGAGAGAGCAUAUUUGGCAUAACAUUUAGUACAUCUGGAUGAAGGGUGUAUGGGAAUCCUUUUUACCAUUCCUGCAACUUUUUUGUAAGCCUGAAACUGUAUGAAAAUACAAAAAAAAAAAAAAAAAAAAAAAAAAGAAAAGAAAAAGAAAAAACAAAAGUAAAAAUAAAAUCUCUCAUCUUAGGUGCUUUCUUCUCCAAGAAACUUUUCUGAUGUUCCCCUGUCCCAGGGAGCUUAGGUGAGGUAGAUGCUCCUGCUCUAUGUAUCCUUGACCUGUGACCUAUCUCUCUGCCAUAACAGCCAUUACAUUGUAACUGCCUGUUUAUGUCAUUCACUGUGAGCCCAGCCCAGAGGCAGGGAUCCUGUUUUAUCAUUCACCUUUGUAUCACCUGAGCUUUGCUAAUACCUGGCACAGAGAGGAAACUCAUUAUGGAUUUGCUGAGUGAUAACAUAGAACUUGGCCUUAUGUACAAGAAGCCAUAGAAGCCUAUCUGGAAAAAGUUCAAAAGUAUGCACGCGACUCUAGAGAAGAAACUCAACUAGAGACUGUAAGAAAUGUAAAGCCAAGCCAGGUUUUGUGCUGAGGUUCUUUAUUUAUAAAGAACUCGGGCUAUAGUGUACAUCAUCUUUAGAAAUCUCCAUGAGGAAGAAAAAUUGGAUGUAGGGGCACUGCAGGAACACCCCUCACUCAGCAGCAGGUGGACACGACUGUGGGUCAGGACCUCCUGCUUCAUGGGGAAUCCUUGUCUGUCAUCAGCACCACUGAUUUGGACCACGUAACCCUUCUAUUCUUCACUCAGAGGAGCAUCAGCAGCGUCUGUGGCCAUACACUUCUCAUAAAAGAUACAACUCUAAUGUCUCCUUAUAAUAGCAGCGAUGAGGUGGGGCACCUACAUGGCCAUUCUGUGGACCAGGAAGAGCCAUCAUCACUACAUCUGCCACUAUCCACAUCCUUCACCUUGAAGGAUGCCUCAUCUUGAAAGAUUCACUGUAGCAUCUUUGGAUCCAGCAACAGAAUCUGUGACCUUCUUCACCCCAAGUGCCUCAAGUAAAUUUACUUCUGCUAGAAGCUUAGAUUUUUCCAGGAUAUUAUUCUUCAAAGAAAUCAUAUGGCUGGCAAAUAAUUUUUUCCUAUUAGAAGAUUAUUAUUAUUAUGAAACUUCUCACUGGUAAUUAAAAAACUCUUGGAAAUGAAGAAUAGGAAGGUUAUCUUUGAAGCCUGGGAAAAGUAACAGAGAUGAAUUGUUUCAUCUCUCUGACCGAACAGCCUCUCAAGAAGAAAACACUUUUUGAAAAAUGAGAUAAAAUGGUGCCUAGUGAGUCAUGAUUUCAGUUUGGAACAACAAUCAGGAAAAAAAAAAGCAUUCCUAAGAAUAAACAUACAGCCACAGAAGACAGUAUAAUCUUACCAAUUUGCCUCAUCACAAAGACUGUGUUAAAGAGUAUCACUGUGUCAAACAGUGGAACUUUUGCAGAUAUAAAUUUGAUGACAUCAGACCUUGAGAUGCCCUUCAAUUAAAACAGUAAUUCAGAUCUCACAAAUGGCAGUUAAAUUCAAGUAUUCUAAAUGUAUGCUGAAUUUUAUGUAAGUGGUACAGGGGAAAUAAAUGACCAUGAACAACAAAAAAAUAAAGUUCUUCUAGAAUCUGCAAAGAGUUUUAUCAUGCAAUCUUGUUAGAUACCAGAUAGCCCCUGUACUGGGGGGAAAAGUGCUUUUUCAGGCUAUUAUUAAAUCUUUUUUCUGCCUCAUUGCCUUUCUUUUUGAAGCUUCAUUGCUUUUAUGCUUAUAGUUUUAUCCACCAUUGUUACCUCUUUUCUGCCAAAAAUGAAUGUCCCACUUAUAUGUGAUUUUAUCCUACAGCCUGCCAUUCUUCUUAACUGUGCAGCUCACAUAUGCAAGCACAUGAGCAGAUGGCCCAUAUACCUACACAGGUUUCGGCCCAUCACCUCUUUCUUUCUCUUCUCUAAGUAUGGACUACCCAGUGCUUCAUCCAAGGCAUUAUUAUCAAUCAAAAGAUGGAUACAUCAGAGAAGACAGAAUAAACAUCUUAGCCCACUAUAUUCACUUCACCACCAUCACCCUAUUGGUGUUGGGCACACACCUACAAGUCACCUGCAGAUCAACUGGCAUCCCCUUGAGAAGUAGGGAGAAAGAAUUGGCUCCUUGCUGUCAUUGACAGAAAAUUGAUUCAGGGGAAGAACCAUGAUAUAGAAGACAGCCUGUCUGACUGGGACCUAGGAGCAAAUCACUCUCUGGGCCUCCAUUUCCUCCUCUACAAAAGGAAGAAGAGCCUUCAAAGGCUUAUUUAUGAAUUUCUAAGUCUGUGAACAUUUUAACAAUGAAAUGGUUAAUUUUUAGAUUUCUGAUUUUAGUAUUUUAAAAUAUUGUACCUACAGGUAGUUCCAGUAGAAUAUUGUUUUGUAUUUUCUUUAUAAAAUAUGUAGAUGAUGACACAAUGAUGUACCAAUGUGGAGUCUGCAACACCCACAUGGAAUCAUUCUUGGGCAGUGUAGUCACUCCCCUUAUCUUUCUGUUUAGGAAGAACAACAGCAAUAACAUUCUUACAGAUGCUAGCCUUAUCCUCACUUCUGCAGAUUUUGAGCCUGCAAACUUUUCAGUGAGAUGAUGUGAGAAAUGGUCAUUAGUGGCUUAUAAUAACCAAAAAGCUGUUUUUUGAAAAAGACAUUAGACUUUCCUGGUUAUGUGAAAUAGCUUUAGCAAUGAAGAUGAUUUUGGUCAUGGAAAAAAAAAAAACACACAGUGAAAUCACCAGUGAGAACCAUUCCACAGCAAACA